This 92-nucleotide small nucleolar RNA is filed under the name Aspergillus terreus. Its description in RNAcentral is "A. fimigatus snoRNA Afu_298". It matches the Rfam family "A. fimigatus snoRNA Afu_298". Lineage: Eukaryota; Fungi; Ascomycota; Eurotiomycetes; Eurotiales; Aspergillaceae. RNAcentral also lists the same sequence under 1 other name. The record is from Rfam by way of RNAcentral.
GCGAAUGAUGAUACUUUUUAACUCGUAGCACCAUGUGGGUGCGUUGAAGAUCAAAAACACGCAACAACAAACACUCUAAUUUUUUGCUGACC